AUGGCGUCCUCUUUGGAUGCGCAGUCGGCAACAUGUGGCGGGGCUAGGGCCGCAAACCCCAGCAAUCUGGAUGACUUCUUCAACCAACUCGACCUUGAUGGAGAAAUCUUCGACGAUUUGGUGGUCGAUGAGGAUGAUCCAGUCAUCAAUGAAAGUGUUUGUUGGUUAGCCCUGGCUAGGGUUUACACGGAGAAAAACUUCAGUCAGUCUGCCUUUUUCAAGGAUAUGUGUGCGGCAUGGAACACAACGCAGGAGGUUCGCUUCAAGCCAGUGGGUAAUAAUCUCUUUGUUGUUCAAGCCUCUUGCCUGGGAGAUUAUGAGCGAAUUGUGGAGAAGGGCCCAUGGAUAUUCAGGAACUUGGCUGUUCUCAUACAGUCGUAUGAUGGUUUCAGCAAGACAGAUGAGAUCGAGAUUGUGCACAUGCCUAUAUGGCUCCAAAUUCAUAAGCUACCGGAUGGAUAUUGUAAACCGGAUCUAGUUCAAAAGCUAAUCAGGAAAGUAGGUGAGGUCCUAGAGACUCGUUUGCAAGGUAAUUCACGGGGUGAUUACAUCAGAGUGCGGGUUAAGCAUGACAUCAGGGAACCGCUGACCAAGCAUGUUAGCAUUGUCAGAGGAAGAGAAAGACAGGUUUUUGCUGUCAGAUAUGAGGAGUUGGACCGUUUCUGUAAAUUCUGUGGCAGGAUUGGGCAUGACUUCAAAGAGUGUGGUACAGGGGUGUAUGCUACCAAGGAUCUUACUUUUGGAGAUUGGCUAUAUGCUGAACCCCCCCCCCCCAAUUUCUCUUAG
Molecule: ribosomal RNA, 786 nt
Filed under: Triticum aestivum (bread wheat)
Lineage: Eukaryota; Viridiplantae; Streptophyta; Magnoliopsida; Poales; Poaceae
Description: partial small subunit ribosomal RNA
Source: RNAcentral